GAGUUUGAUCAUGGCUCAGGAUGAACGCUGGCGGCGUGCCUAACACAUGCAAGUCGAACGCUCGCAAGAGAGUGGCGCACGGGUGAGUAACACGUAGCUUAUCUGCCCUCAAGACAGGGAUAACAAUAGGAAACUAUUGCUAAUACCUGAUAAGCUUACGAGCUAUAGAGGCUCAUAAGAAAAGAUUUAUCGCUUGAGGAUGAGGCUGCGAGCCAUCAGCUAGUUGGUGAGGUAAAGGCUCACCAAGGCGACGACGGCUAGGGGGACCCUGACGAGGGUGACCCCCCACACUGGGACUGAGACACGGGCCCAGACUCCUACGGGAGGCAGCAGUGAGGAAUAUUGCUCAAUGGGCGCAAGCCUGAAGCAGCGACGCCGCGUGGAUGAAGAAGGUUUUCGGACUGUAAAAUCCUUUUCUGUGUGACGAGAGUGGACGGUAGCACAGGAAUAAGUCUCGGCUAACUACGUG
Molecule: ribosomal RNA, 469 nt
Filed under: uncultured Clostridia bacterium
Lineage: Bacteria; Bacillati; Bacillota; Clostridia
Description: bacterial SSU rRNA
Rfam family: Bacterial small subunit ribosomal RNA
Source: RNAcentral